Molecule: ribosomal RNA, 497 nt
Filed under: uncultured bacterium
Lineage: Bacteria
Description: partial 16S ribosomal RNA
Rfam family: Bacterial small subunit ribosomal RNA
Source: RNAcentral
GAUGAACGCUGGCGGCGUGCCUAAUACAUGCAAGUCGAGCGAACAGACGAGGAGCUUGCUCCUCUGACGUUAGCGGCGGACGGGUGAGUAACACGUGGAUAACCUACCUAUAAGACUGGGAUAACUUCGGGAAACCGGAGCUAAUACCGGAUAAUAUAUUGAACCGCAUGGUUCAAUAGUGAAAGACGGUUUUGCUGUCACUUAUAGAUGGAUCCGCGCCGCAUUAGCUAGUUGGUAAGGUAACGGCUUACCAAGGCAACGAUGCGUAGCCGACCUGAGAGAGUGAUCGGCCACACGGGAACUUGGACACGGUCAAGACGCCUGCGGGAGGCCGCAGUAGGGAAUCGUCCGCAAUGGGCGAAAGCCUGACGGAGCAACGCCGCGUGAGUGAUGAAGGUCUUCGGAUCGUAAAACUCUGUUAUGAGGGAAGAACAAAUGUGUAAGUAACUAUGCACGUCUUGACGGUACCUAAUCAGAAAGCCACGGCUAACUACGUG